AAAUUAAGGAAAAAAAAUUUUCGGUGGAAAAAAAAUUUUCGGUGAAAAAAAUUUUUACGUCGUUUGUGUUUAGUUUGUGGGAAAAAAAAUAUAGUUUUUCAUUACAGUUGUUUGAUUAAAAGAAAAAGAAAAGUAGAUAAAAAACUAUUUAAUAUAUUUUUUAUUAUAUAUAUUAUUAAUAUAUUAUAAUUAUUAUAUAUAUUUUCUCUAAUUAUAUAUAUAUUAUAUAUUAUUAAUAUAUAAUAAUUAUCAUAAUAUAUUUAAUUAUUAUAAUUUAUAUUUAUAAAUAAAAUAUAUUAUAUAAUAAAUAUGUAAUAUAAUAUAUAAUAAUAUAUAUUUAAUACUAUAAAAUAAAUUUUAUGUAUUUA
RNAcentral lists this long non-coding RNA (368 nucleotides) under Ananas comosus (pineapple). Its description in RNAcentral is "long non-coding RNA (ACOM_LNC004232)". Lineage: Eukaryota; Viridiplantae; Streptophyta; Magnoliopsida; Poales; Bromeliaceae. The record is from RNAcentral.